AAACGAACAGAAAAGUAGGACAGAGACAGUGGGGUGCAAGGGAAGAUGUACUGUAUCUUUUUCCCCGCAAAAAGGUUCUUUUUGGGUGCAAGAAUAUUGGAGUAUCAUUUUUCCCUUCAUAGAAGUGGCGGAAGUUUAGGGCCAUGCACGAGGGAAUACCACAAGAAUCUACAAUAGAUUUCUUAUUAAAAAAAGAACCUAGAAAGAGAUUUUCCACGCUUGACAACAACAAGAAAAAAAAGAACAGAAAAAUAAUGCUCGGUGUGCCAAUGCAAAACGAAAACAUGUUUCAUUGUAAUGUUUUUUUUUGCUCCAAGAUUACUAAUACUAGCAACGAAUCCUUCUCUAACCAGAAUGGGAGAAAUAGCAGAGACAAAAAUAAUACAGUGUAGUACUAUGUAGUAUCUUUUUGAACGGAGACAGAAUAUUUUGGAAGGGAACAUGUCUCUCUUCUGUUCUCUCUCGCA
Molecule: long non-coding RNA, 467 nt
Filed under: Brachypodium distachyon (stiff brome)
Lineage: Eukaryota; Viridiplantae; Streptophyta; Magnoliopsida; Poales; Poaceae
Description: long non-coding RNA (BDIS_LNC002287)
Source: RNAcentral